UCGGAUUUGGGUUAAGGGGCUUCGGAGAAGCCGGAUCUAAAGUUUUCUUCUUUUCCGGCCACCGCAUACGACGGUGCCAGCGCUGGAGAUCAACGACCGGCGCGGUGGCCGAUGACCGGUCGACGGUCGGACUGGGGGGCUGGUGCCAGGAAGAGAAAUGAGAGUUUGAGAGAUUUUUUUUAAGUUUUUUUUUGUAAAGAAUGAAAAAUGAGAUUUUGUGAAUUGAUUUUGGCUUAAAUAGGCAAUUAAAACGGCGCCGUUUAAGGCCAGGGUUGACCCGAAUCCGACCCGACCCAGCUUUAGGAUCCGCGUGUUUUAUAUGGAGGGGCAAAUUGUAUUUUGACCCCUC
RNAcentral lists this long non-coding RNA (349 nucleotides) under Gossypium raimondii (Peruvian cotton). Its description in RNAcentral is "long non-coding RNA (GRAI_LNC008417)". The record is from RNAcentral. Lineage: Eukaryota; Viridiplantae; Streptophyta; Magnoliopsida; Malvales; Malvaceae.